Molecule: ribosomal RNA, 253 nt
Filed under: uncultured bacterium
Lineage: Bacteria
Description: partial 16S ribosomal RNA
Rfam family: Bacterial small subunit ribosomal RNA
Source: RNAcentral
UACAGAGGUCUCAAGCGUUGUUCGGAUUCAUUGGGCGUAAAGGGUGUGUAGGUGGCGCCGUAAGUCGGGUGUGAAAUUUCGGAGCUUAACUCCGAAACUGCAUUCGAUACUGCGGUGCUUGAGGACUGGAGAGGAGACUGGAAUUCAUGGUGUAGCAGUGAAAUGCGUAGAGAUCAUGAGGAAGACCAGUGGCGAAGGCGGGUCUCUGGACAACUGUUGACGCUGAGGUGCGAAAGCGUGGGGAGCAAACAGG